GGAAUUUAUACAAACGGACUAAAAUGGCUCUAGUAUUUUCAUAUUUCAAUCAUGAAGAUGGCUUUAAAACAGAGUGAGGAAGGGACGAGCAUGGUUGCAGUUUGUAUUUGAAUGACAACGGCUCGCCGCCAAAUGAUGCAAUUCAAAACGUGUGGUUCACAGCGUCAAUAUACUAAGAAUUCCGCCUUGACAGAGAAAUAGAAGAGGUGGUUAGAACUAGUUCGCCUGUAACUUCAAGGAUGUAAUACGUCGAAAGGAAUAAGGUGAGUUAUUACAAUAUAAUGCGAGAAUUAUAAUGUAAUGAUUGUUGUCUGCGAUUACAAUAUGAUAUGACUGCUUUAAUAUUGAUCGGCUGAGGCUAUUCUCUGCAUUAUCAAUUUGCAGUCUCAGACUCUCAGUUAAGAAAACUUGCGCGCGUUUUUAUUUACAAGUACCUUUGUCUGAUUUAUCUUGCGUUUACUGUUUUCCUUUCAAUUAUAUAAAGACAAAUAUUUUAGAACCUGAGCUGAAAAAUCGAAAAUAACUGUUCAAUGCCCAACACCUCAACUAUAUCAUAUACAUAUACAUAUACACAUAUAGGAAUGGAUGAUUUUGUGCAUUCACUACGCACAACAAUACAGACAACAAUAUUUUAUUCAUUAAAUUUCAAUUGAUUCAAUGGCAAAUGGUAGUGUUUUUAUAUUGAUUACUGAACGGUGGAAUUUCUUUUAUUUAUGAUACUCUGUGUGUAAGAAGAUAUACAGUAUACACUACACAGCUGGACCUGAGCUGGUGCUUCAUGAAUAUUUUUUGCCAACUCUAAUUUUAUAUUUCAUUUUUAAACAUUAAGCUGCAAUGUCCCCAAAUAUAGCUUAUUUUAUUGUUUUCUUCUGUCUAACGCCAGACAAUCUUGAUUUUAUUUGCCAAAGGGAUCUUAUGAGGUAAUUUUACCUAUCAAUGGCCAAUGGGAGAGUCCUAAGUAUUAAUAUGGAUUAUUAUAUAAUAUUCACAUUAUAAAAUUGCAAAACAUAAUUCUAUUUCUCAACCAUGUCAAAAGAUAAAGCAAAAUUAAUAAAAUGUUUAUUGCAACACCUGAUAGAAUCUCAUUUUGAAGUAGAAUAAUUGCUACAUCUAGUGUUAAGGUGAUCUCUUAUCCGUCCUGGACAAAUAGACCAUUCGACAGGGGUGAAGUAAUUUUUCUUUCUUGAAAUGGCAAUGUAUCGAUAUGGUUUUUCAAUGGCAAAAUGCAAUUGGAUUGUACCAGUGACUAAUUAUAUUAAGUUAAAGGGGCCCUACAAUUUUUUUUAGUUGAAAAGCCAUUGUUUACAUUUUUUGUUAUUGUCGCUUCUUGACAUGCGCAUCACAGCAUGCAUGCAUCUUCCGGUAUGCGGAAGUACUCAUACUCAUGGAUACUGCAUGUAAGAUACAGCCAAACGAAUCUCUGUGGAGUCCGCCACUUAAGGUGGCUUUUUAACUAAAAAAUGACUGUAGGACCCUUUUAAGGUAACACAUGCUCAAUGGUUUCCCUGUUAGAUACUGUACAUACUCACUUUGAAGCAGAUUAAUUGUACGCCCAUAUUCUACUGUUAUUUCUACUGUGUCCAGGAUGGAUAAAAGAUAUGCCAUCUCAGCUUAACACUCCAUGUAGCAAUUAAUCUAACAGGGAAGGUACUGAUAAAUUCACGCCGGGUCAGCUGUUCUCACAAAUCGGCCAUCUAAUCAAACUUUUUUAAUAUAUUUCGGAUGGACAUGAAACUUGCUACAUGAAUAUAACGUUCCAUUCCGAACAAUCGUAUGUUUUUUAUUUUUGAGAUUUAACGGUUUUUGCGGGAAAAUGACAUCACGAAACCUCCAGUUAAAAUUUAUUUUCAAUAUCUUAAUAGUUUUUAAGCAGAAUGUGAAAGAUCAUGUCAUGAAGAGUUCAAAACUGAAAACAGAUUUUAAAUAUCUUAAUCUAAUCACGAGAUACAGGGAGUUUAGAAUCGAAUUUUCCGCCAUUUUGUUACUAUUUUUAGAUUUUUCAUGGUUUUUAUGGUGAAAUAACUUUGGAUUAGAUUUAGAUAUUUAAAAUCCGUUUUCAGUUUUGAACUGUUCAUGACAUGUUCUUCCAAAUUCUGCGACAAAACUAUUAAGAUAUUGAAAGUAAAUUUUAACUGGAGGUUUUGUGACGUCAUUUUCCCGCCAAAAACCGUUAAAUCUCAAAAAUAAAAAACAUACGAUUGUUCGGAAUGGAAAGUUAUAUUGAUGUAGCAAGUUUCAUGUCCAUCCGAAAUAUAUUGAAAAAGUUUACAUCAGAUAGCCGAUUUGUGAGAACAACUGACCCGGCGUGAUUAUCUAACAGGGAAGCCAUUGAGCCAGUGUUUCUUAGCUAUAUAAUUAAUCAUUGGUGCAAUCCAAUUGCAUUUUGUCAUUGAAAAAUCAUAUCAAUACAUCAUCAUUUCAAGAAAGAAAAAUUACUUUGCUACAGUAUAUGGUGUAACCUGUGUCAAAUUGGUCAUUUGUCCGGGACGGAUGUGCCAUCUCACCUUAACACUAUCGCCAAUAUUCUAAGAGCUCACUCACACUCAAUGAGUGGAGAUUCAACAUAAGCUUCUGUCAAGUGUCAUUGCCGUUUUUAAAAAGCUGGAGGGCUAGUGUCAUACCUUACUAUGUAACUACUCACCGUCUCACCCUAUUCAAAAACAGCAUUGACCCUCAAGAGAAGCUCAGAUUAAACCUGAGCCACUCAUUGAAUGUGAAUAAGCUUUUAGAAUACAGGUAGUGUUAAGGUGAGAUGGCACAUCUCUUAAAUCCAUCCUGGACAAAUGACCCACCUGACACAGGUAACACUAUAAUGAAGUAAUUUUUCUUUCUGGAAAUGGCGAUGUAUCGAUAUGAUUUUUCAAUGGCAAAAUGCAAUUUGACUGCACCACUGAUUAAUUAUAUAGCUAAGGAACUCUGGCUCAAUGGCUUCCCUCUUAGAUAAUGUAGGCCUACUCUGUUUGAAGUUGAUUAAUUGCUACAAGGAUUGUUAAGGUGAGAUGGCACAUCUCUUAUCUGAUUAAGUAAUUUUUCUUUCUUGAAAUGAUUUUUCAAUGGCAAAAUGCAAUUAAACUGUAUGUCUGUACCAGUGAUUAAUUAUUUGUUGAUGUGUCACUCACUUUCCUGUUAAAUACUGCUUUUGAAGUAGUCAAGUAGAUUAAUUGCUACAUGUAGUGUUAAGGUGAGAUGGCACAUUGAGUGGCAGCACUCCCCUCCUGACGAGUAAAAUUAUCUGGCGUUAGACAGGGUAAAAUAAUGUGGCGUUAGACAGAGUAAAAUAGUAAAGUAGGGCGCAUUGCCACUUGAAGGGUCAAUGUGUCACUCACUAUUGUCGAUAUAUGCUUGCCCCUUACAAGCUGAAUUUUCUCUACUUAUUUUAAUUUUUUGGGAGUUGUUUAUCGGUUGAAUUUACUGUUGAACCAAAUUUAUGCCACUUCUCUCUAGAUGGAUGGCUCAUUUGACACAUCAACCCAUUAAUUGUCAACACUCACCCUUGAUUUGGUUUGAGAUGAUUUGGUUUAAGAUAGGGUACAUGUAAAAUAACAAGUAGGGUGCACUUACAUGUAGUACAAUGCCAAAUCAAGUUCCAGUCUUCCAGCAGUCUCUUCUUGUGGAGUAAAAUAACAAUGAAUGGCUACAAUGCUACUUAAAUACUUCAAGGGCUAACCGAAGUUACCAAAUACACUAGCAGGUGCUAAGGUUAACCCAUUAAUGGACAAAAAUCUUCCCUUGACAAAUACCUGUAAAAUCAUUUUGCAGUAGGCAGAUUAAAUAAUAAUGUAGGGUUGCCGAGUAUUUAAUAUAAACCUUAUGGAAUUGUCACAAUUUUUUUAGUGUUAUGGCUAUACAUGUAGGUAGCGUUGCUUUGCACAUCCUUAGCAUUGCUCCCUGAUGCACCCUUUAUUUGACUCUGUCUGACACCAGACGACUUUUUUGAAAGAGAGAGAGUUUAAGGUUUAGUUUCUUAAUCGUUGAGAACAAAUUUAAUAAGGAAAUGGCAUUUAUGGCUUCAAAUUGCAAACUUUUUCCGGAGGAGAAUGCCCUAUAAUAAUGCAACACCCCCCCCCCCCUCUCAUCUUUGGAAAACAUCCACCCCUUCUCUAACAAGUGAAGCUUGAUCCACCCGAGAUUCAUUUCAAUAUUUGCAAAUAUGUUCUGCUUGUCCAUAUAUGUCUCAUGUGUGUAGGAUGUACUUUUAAAAGCAUUGUUUUUUUCUUAAUACAUUAAUUCAUACAUUUGCUGUUUUGUGUUCUUUGCUAGAUAGAUGUGCACAGAUCGUUACAAUCAUAUCCUGGUACUUAUGAAAUUUUCUCCAAUCUUACAUCAUGUAUAUGUCUCUGGCAGACACAAACCUUAUAGUACAAGAAAAUAGUGGAUGACCCUGAAUGCCUUUAUAUUUGACAUUUACAGAGGAAAGAUUCCCCUAAUGUGGAACGGACAGUGAUUGAAGGUUAAAUAAAUAAAUAAUAUAUUCACAUUUUUAGACAGUGUAGAAAUUGUGUAUAAGGCAUGCAUGUGUCAGUGUAGGUAGUGAUUAACAACAUAUAUACUGUAGUUGCAUAGAGUUACUUUUGCUUUGUACUUAUAAGUGGCAAAACCCCCCAAAGAAACUUCACUUGUCUUGACCUGCCAUUCAACCAAUAUGGCCAAACGUUUGGCAAAUUUUGCAUAGCGUAGUACAGAAUAUAUGAAUAAUAUAAAUUAUAGCCUAUAGGCCGCAUUGUGAUUAACGAUUCCAUAUUUUCCAUUCAUAUUUGUAAAUAUUUUAAAGUACAUGUAAUAAAGUGUAUGCACAAUUUCAG
Molecule: non-coding RNA, 4802 nt
Organism: Paramuricea clavata
Lineage: Eukaryota; Metazoa; Cnidaria; Anthozoa; Malacalcyonacea; Plexauridae
Source: the annotation of a GenBank genome assembly